RNAcentral lists this ribosomal RNA (292 nucleotides) under uncultured Verrucomicrobiota bacterium. RNAcentral describes it as "uncultured Verrucomicrobia bacterium partial 16S ribosomal RNA". The record is from RNAcentral. Lineage: Bacteria; Pseudomonadati; Verrucomicrobiota.
GGACUACCAGGGUUUCUAAUCCUGUUUGCUCCCCUAGCUUUCGUGCCUCAGUGUCAGGAAUCGUCCAGGGACUCGCCUUCGCCACUGGUGUUCCUCUCGAUAUCUACGCAUUUCACUGCUACACCGAGAAUUCCAGUCCCCCCUCCGAUCCUCCAGCCGGAUAGUAUCCAAUGCAGUUUCGAAGUUAAGCUUCGAGAUUUCACAUCAGACUUACCCGGCCACCUGCGCACCCUUUACGCCCAGUGAAUCCGAACAACGCUUGGGACCUCUGUAUUACCGCGGCUGCUGGCAC